CUGUACUAAAUAAGGCAUAAAUUUAGCCAAAAUAAACAGGAUUGGUCAUGCGUAUGGAUAAUCCCAAAUAAGGCACCUACUUUGGCGCACACUUGUGUAUGAAGAGCCUGAAAAAAUCCCUUUGUUGAGCAACCCGUCGAAGAUUCACUUCAUAAGAAGGUACCCUCUAUCAAAAGGCAUGGUAAAGACAUCAAGUGGAGUUUCAGCCUGGCCAGCUGCCAACUCUGCGAGGAUUUCCACUGACAGGAUUUCAGACGAUGGCCUCACGUUUGAAGCUGAACUGUGCACCAAGCCAAUCACGGCCAGUCAGGAGCAGCCCUUCAUAGUACAUGAUGUGAGAGAAAAACGAAAGGGGCAAGAUUAAGAGGGCAUACAAGCGGCACAGUGCAUGAUGAUGAAGGUGGGUUGAAUAGAAUUGGCUUCUGCUUCUGCAAACAGGCGGUGGUCCAGGAUACCUGAAGCUCCAAUGUUUAAGUCUCUGUUGUGGAGCUGUGUGAGCUCUUUCCUGAAUAACUGAUGAUCUCUUUCUGACUUUACACAAUGAUGCUAAACUGAUCCACUUAAAUACAUUUGUUUAUGGUUAAAGCUUUGUUCGAGCUUUCUGUGAACUUGCAUAAUGGCAUAAUCACUUCAGAAUUGUCACUGCUUAAAUCUUUUGUGGAACCUUUUUUUGGAAGCAUCCCCUUAAUUUAUUUUUUUAUCUAAUGCUUAUUUCAAAUUCAUGGCAAAAUACAAAGGUGGAAGAAAAUUUCAUAGUGCAAAGUUUAAUUUGUCUCACCACAUUUCCAAGUCAAUUUUUUCUUGAAAGUAGUAACAUAUUCUGCUGAAAUUACUUUGGUAUUAAGUUAAGUUGCAUGUUCCUGUAUUUGAUGCUUAAUAUUUUCACUGCAACUGAAAAUUGUGAACCAAUAAAUUUUCACCAGCAGUAAUUUUCCACUAAAAUACAGAUGCAGUGGAGGAGUCGGGGGCUGGGUUGGCCAAUUAAAAGUCCAGGCAGAUUCUGUAAAUGAUCAUCCUUCUUGUCUACUGUCCACCUUGGGAAAUGUUCUUGAUACUCUGGUAACAGUUGCACUGAUGAAUUUGGGGGAGCUUUAUCCUGUUCCCCAUGUGUGACUUGUUUUGAACUCCUGCACUCAAGCCUAAGGUUGUUCAAAGAGCCUGACAUUCCAAAUAUUAUUCUAAAGAUAAAUGUAAUAAUGUUCUUCUGAAUAUUGUAAGUUUUGAUGUUGUUGUGUCUCUAUGACAAGAGACAGAAUAUAAUCAGGAAAAUAAAAAUAAGGGAAGUUGAGAAUUCCACAAAAAUAGCCAAAGUGAUGACAUUGGUGUGUUCACUGGUCUCUUAUGUUGGGACAUGAAGGUAAGGGGUAAAUUUCCUGCAGCAUCAUAAAGUCUUCAAGGGGCUGAAGUUUAUUGAAAGCACGUGAGAUCAUGUGACUUUGUCAUAUGUUGUAGUCCCCACCUGGUUCUAUAAUAGGGAAGGAAAUUUGCCUACAUGUGUUUCCAGUCUCUCAGCAAUGUGGUUGACUAUUAACUAACUGCUGGGCAAUUCAGGAUAGGCAAUAAAUGAUAG
Molecule: long non-coding RNA, 1570 nt
Organism: Stegostoma tigrinum
Lineage: Eukaryota; Metazoa; Chordata; Chondrichthyes; Orectolobiformes; Stegostomatidae
Exons: 3
Source: RefSeq, a predicted model, not a curated record